This 447-nucleotide ribosomal RNA is filed under the name uncultured bacterium. Its description in RNAcentral is "partial 16S ribosomal RNA". It matches the Rfam family "Bacterial small subunit ribosomal RNA", at positions 29 to 523 of the family's 1533-position model. The record is from RNAcentral.
AGCGAACGCUGGCGGCAGGCCUAACACAUGCAAGUCGAGCGCCCCGCAAGGGGAGCGGCAGACGGGAGAGUAACACGUGGGAACGUACCCUUCAGUUCGGAACAACCAAGGGAAACUUUGGCUAAUACCGAAUACGUCCGUAAGGAGAAAGAUUUAUCGCUGAGGGAUCGGCCCGCGUCUGAUUAGCUAGUUGGUGGGGUAAUGGCCCACCAAGGCGACGAUCAGUAGCUGGUCUGAGAGGAUGAUCAGCCUCACUGGGACUGAGACACGGCCCAGACUCCUACGGGAGGCAGCAGUGGGGAAUAUUGGACAAUGGGCGCAAGCCUGAUCCAGCCAUGCCGCGUGGAUGAUGAAGGCCCUAGGGUUGUAAAGUCCUUUCGGCGGGGAAGAUAAUGACGGUACCCGCAGAAGAAGCCCCGGCUAACUUCGUGCCAGCCGCCGCUGUAA